Ornithorhynchus anatinus (platypus) is the source of this 434-nucleotide long non-coding RNA. RefSeq lists it as uncharacterized. The record is from RefSeq and is a predicted model, not a curated record. NCBI's taxonomy places the organism in Eukaryota, Metazoa, Chordata, Mammalia, Monotremata, Ornithorhynchidae. The transcript is spliced from 3 exons.
AUUCACCUGCUCCAACCCUGGCAAGUCCAGAUCUCCUCUUCCUCCCUGCCCCCGGGAGCAGGGUCUUUGAUCUGAUCGUGUUGUAACUACCCCAGCGUUCAGAGCAGUGCUUCGCCCAUGCACAAGGUGAAGAAGAGUAGGGGAGAAAGGUCACCGAUCCCACGUGACACCAAGAACCACCCUGAGAUUUUCCCCAAGAAUCCGAACAUGGUACCUUUGCUCUCAGCUGAUAAAGGAUGGUCAGGAGGCCCACCGGUUAGAGGCUGCUGAUGCUCAGCCCUCUGGCAAAACUGACCACUGCCACAGACCCAAGGCCGAUCCCAAGCCCUGGCCAGAAGGAAACGAGGAACCGAGACAAGCUUCAACCCCGAGUCGAGCCAGACGCCGGACAUCCGCAGCGCUGGAGAGGCGGUGGCUUUCCUCUCAGGACAACA